RNAcentral lists this long non-coding RNA (697 nucleotides) under Cervus hanglu yarkandensis (Yarkand deer). Its description in RNAcentral is "lncRNA (ENSCHYG00000018505.1)". The record is from RNAcentral. Lineage: Eukaryota; Metazoa; Chordata; Mammalia; Artiodactyla; Cervidae.
GCUUCAUACAUGAGAAAUAUUUCUUUUGAUCAGAGUAGUUUGCAAGUGCGUGGGUCAAAUUUAAGCAUCGAGUUUUUAACGAGUGGCUCCUGUGUGUGAAGUGCUACAUGAGCUAGCUCUGGGGUAGACAGGCAGAACAGGGCACCAAACAUUAAAAUGGGCACGGGAAAGAUGUUUAAUGAUGGUUCAAGGUGGACACUAGGAGGAGCAUGAGAAAGCAGCACACGAGUUUGAGAAGCCCUACCUGCCACAGGUCCUCUGUCUUCCCCACAAGACUGCAAGCAUCAAGAGGGCAGAAAAAUGAAACAUCUGCUAAGCUUCAUUGCCUCUGAGAGAAAGAGACAGAGAAACAAACAGGGACACGGUAUGUCUAAAGUUUUCUCUUUGCUCCUGAACGGAAGGUAAAGACCGUGUGUUUCAAGGAUGGAAGUCCUGAAUACCUGCAGGCUACAUUGUUCAAGGGGAGGGAUGAAGGCUGAGAGCUACAGAGGUUAAAGAUUGCCUUCUGCCUAGUUAGUGGUUCCCCAGGGCUGAAGAGAAAUAUGGGUUGGAGCCCUUAUGGAGCUCUGGUCCCGUCUGAGCCUGGUGCUCUGGGUCACCUCAGAGUGGGCCUGCUGCAUGACCGACUAUGGGACUGAUGAGGCUCUGCCAAGGUCCUCAAACCCAGUUUGAGGUGGGCAAACUGAGAACUCGUCUC